This 450-nucleotide ribosomal RNA is filed under the name uncultured bacterium. RNAcentral's name for it is "partial 16S ribosomal RNA". It matches the Rfam family "Bacterial small subunit ribosomal RNA", at positions 354 to 796 of the family's 1533-position model. The record is from RNAcentral.
GUGGGGAAUAUUGGACAAUGGGCGCAAGCCUGAUCCAGCCAUACCGCGUGGGUGAAGAAGGCCUUCGGGUUGUAAAGCCCUUUUGUUGGGAAAGAAAUCCUGUCGGUUAAUACCUGGCGGGGAUGACGGUACCCAAAGAAUAAGCACCGGCUAACUUCGUGCCAGCAGCCGCGGUAAUACGAAGGGUGCAAGCGUUACUCGGAAUUACUGGGCGUAAGGCGUGCGUAGGUGGUGGUUUAAGUCCGUUGUGAAAGCCCUGGGCUCAACCUGGGAAUUGCAGUGGAUACUGGAUCACUAGAGUGUGGUAGAGGGAUGCGGAAUUUCUGGUGUAGCAGUGAAAUGCGUAGAGAUCAGAAGGAACAUCCGUGGCGAAGGCGGCAUCCUGGGCCAACACUGACACUGAGGCACGAAAGCGUGGGGAGCAAACAGGAUUAGAAACCCUUGUAGUCC